AAGAGGCUGAGUCACAAGCGCUCACAGCGCCUGCGGGAGACGAGGGUGCUGGUCAAGAUGUGGAGGUGAAAACUCUGCUGAGAAGAGACGACCGCGGCCGUUCGAUCCUGCACUUUGCCGCCGAGCGGCCCCACCGAGGCCACGCCCUCUCUCGGCUUCUCGACCAAUCAGGGCUGAGUCUGGCCGACCGAGACGAGCGCUAUGCCACCGCGCGGGAUGCCGCGGUGGCUGCGGGACUCUCCGAAAAUGUAGCGGCCAUCGACGCUUGGGUGACCUCUCUGGCUGCCAGAGGGGACACGGAGCGGCUAGGUCAGCUACUGCUAGACGGGUAUGACCACAUCCUUGAUGCGGAGGAUAGCCGUCAUCGGAACAU
Long non-coding RNA from Amphibalanus amphitrite, 373 nucleotides. RefSeq lists it as uncharacterized. The transcript is spliced from 3 exons. The record is from RefSeq and is a predicted model, not a curated record. Lineage: Eukaryota; Metazoa; Arthropoda; Thecostraca; Balanomorpha; Balanidae.